UAAUACCAGCACCCCGAGUGGUCGGGACGAUUAUUGGGCCUAAAGCAUCCGUAGCCGGUUUUACAAGUCCUCCGUUAAAUCCAACUGCUUAACAGAUGGGCCGCGGAGGAUACUAUAAGACUAGGAGGCAGGAGAGGCAAGCGGUACUCAGUGGGUAGGGGUAAAAUCCGUUGAUCCAUUGAAGACCACCAGUGGCGAAGGCGGCUUGCCAGAAUGCGCUCGACGGUGAGGGAUGAAAGCUGGGGGAGCAAACCGGAUUAGAUACCCGGGUAGUCCCAGCUGUAAACGAUGCAGACUCGGUGAUGGACUAGCUUAAUGCUAGUCCAGUGCCGCAGGGAAGCCGUUAAGUCUGCCGCCUGGGUAGUACGGUCGCAAGACUGAAACUUAAAGGAAUUGACGG
This 400-nucleotide ribosomal RNA is filed under the name uncultured archaeon. Its description in RNAcentral is "bacterial SSU rRNA". It matches the Rfam family "Archaeal small subunit ribosomal RNA", at positions 471 to 871 of the family's 1478-position model. The record is from RNAcentral.